RNAcentral lists this transfer RNA (62 nucleotides) under Deuteronectes picturatus. RNAcentral's name for it is "tRNA-Cys". Lineage: Eukaryota; Metazoa; Arthropoda; Insecta; Coleoptera; Dytiscidae. The record is from RNAcentral.
AGUAUUAUAUUUUAAAGAAAAUUUUGAAUUGCAAGUUUAAAGAUAGGGCAUCCUUAAUACUU